Oryzias latipes (Japanese medaka) is the source of this 2633-nucleotide non-coding RNA. Lineage: Eukaryota; Metazoa; Chordata; Actinopteri; Beloniformes; Adrianichthyidae. The record is from RefSeq and is a predicted model, not a curated record.
CUAACGCCCGAGGCAUCGGAUUCCGUUUUGGGGAUUUAUUUCUGUUUGGAAAAACUUGGACAGUCAACCCUUAGGUGAGAGGAUUCCUUUUUUUCGUUUGGAUAUCGUUUCAUUGGGAAGAAUGCCUUCGUGUCGGGAGUGGGAGUGACCGUGAACUUUGAAAAGGAAGACGCUACAGCACGGACAUUAACGGGACAUUUAAAGAAAACAAAUCGGUUCUGAGAGACUAAGGAUUAUUAUAUUAUUUGGGUUUUUCUGUUGUUUGGUUUACUUGUGUUAUAUAAAAGAAUCUGAAUAACAAAGAGAAAAAACUGUUGUGUGUAAAUAUAUCCAUUUAAAGAAUCUAAUUACCCUAAAAAACGUAAUGAGCACUAUAAAUAAAUAGAUGAUCGUUACAGAGUGUACCUGCAAAUCAAAUAGACUGCUCAACUGACCACAUUAAAAGAAAAAGAUUAUUAAUCCCUUUACUAACAGUGUUUACAAGAAAAAAGUUAAGAUUUUACUAGAUAUUUUAACAGUGUACAAAUAUAAAUAGUAGCUUACUUGAGUAGUCCAUAUAAAUUUAUGACAAAUCAGUUAUGCCACUUUUUAAAAAAAUAUUUUUUUAACUUGUUACAGGUGGGUCUGAAGGACUCAAUCCCUGUUGAGCUGGCCCAUCACAGCUGUACAUGUGUAGCUGGAUCAGUGCUCUGUAACCAUUGUGUGGCUCUACUUUUCCAGUCUGCGCAUUAUUCUCAGCUUGACAUUCCAGUUGUUCCACCAGUGCUGAGCUGUACGGAGAGUGAACAACAGUGGCACAAGCCAAGAACCCUGGCAAGACUUGGAAUAAUGGUGUUAAACCAGGUCCCGUCGAGAAGAUGGCUGUGAUGUCUGCCAAACAAAAGCAGAGGACCAUGAUUGGGGGAGUAAAGUCCACAAUGUACAAAGCCAUCAGUGGACAGUUCCUGGACCUGUCCACUCUCAGUGUGUCAGAGACCUACAAAGAGUUCACCCCUGUUUCUGCACCAACCAUCUGAACAUCUGGAUUAUCCUCAUCUGAAAAUGAAAGACGGCAACCUGGAAUUGAAGCAGGGUCAUGGCUACUAAUGGGAGGUGCAGGGUCAGCUGCUCCUAACAGGGGUGGAGUGGUGCGAUUUUGUGGUGUUUGUGGAGGAAGACACCCUGAUUCAAAGAAUGUACCGUGACAGUGAUGUGAUGCAAAAAAUAAGAGAGAGAGAGCAGACUUCUUUUUCUACACAUACCUACGUAAAUAUUUGCUGUAAUAUUUGCACAUUUCCUGUUCUUGUUGAUAUCUCAUUAUAAUGUGAGUUGUUUCAAGUUAUUUAAAUUUGUCACGUAACUCAUUAGAAAAUAUGUGCUAAACAGAGUUGUAAUACUUUAAGGAUUUACCACUUGACUUAAAGUGUACAUAGCAAAGGUGAACACACACCAAUGUAUUGCUAGAUGUUAAAGGGGUAGUUCACACAACAAUUAAAAUUCUGUCAUCAUAUACACACCCUCGUGUUAUAAACCUGUAUAAAAUGUCUUGGUUCUGAUGAACACAAAGGAAGAUAUUUUGAGAAAUGUAACCAAAACAUUUGUGGACUCCAAUCUCUUCCAUAGUUUAAUUUUAUUCCUACCAUGGAAGUGAAUGGGGUCCACAAACGGUUUGGUUACAAACAUUUUUAAAAAUAUUUACCUGUGUUUAUCUGAACAAAGACAUUUUUACAGCUUUGUAACAACAUGAGAGUGUGAAAAUUAUGAACUCAUUUUCAUUUUUGGGCGAAGUGUCCCUUUAUUAAACUAAUAUUCAGUAAGUCAGGCCGACUUGAGGGGAAAUUAAAGAACACAAAAGGAGACCAAGGUAAUAUAGAUUUCAAAUAAAUAAUUUAUUAAUUAAAAAUUGAUGUUGCUGGUUCGAUAAGCCUCCAGAAUGCCAUCAGGUGGUCAUAAGAAUGGAAUCUUUUAAACAAAUACACAAAAAUAACAUUGUUGUUAGUCAUGGUAGGCUAAUUUAGUUACACAUAAUCAAUUAUCUUAAUUUUCACUCUUCUUACUACAUUUGUUUAACAUGAAGACAAUAAAAGGUUGUGUCUACGCAUCUGACUAUGUCAGUCAUAAACUACUUUACUUUGGAUAUUUGAUGUACACUUGAAGGAAAAUACUCUUCCUCUUGUAAGGUGGACUUUUAGUGGAGCAACAUUUUACAUGUGUGGUAGCCCGUCUUUACUUUCACUUAAGUGCAUGACUUUGUACAUGAUUUUCUGUCCAUCACUGUUAAUAUGGCACAAGGCAUCAUCUUCCUGCAAUUCAAAAAACCUUAAUUAUGACAUACCUGGUAUAAAAUCGGAUGUCCUCGUCUGAUCCUGCAAAUCGCUUUAGUCCAAAACAACUCCGCAGCUGGAGAGCCUCAAUGUGUAGUUCGAGCUCCUUAACUUUCUGGCGAAGUGUAUCGUUUUCCUCAGCUAGCUGAUCUGCGACCAUUGCAUUUGUAGGAGUAAUACAAUAAUCAUGAUCUGGUGCCAGGGUAUCCAGUUCCAUCUCUUCUUCUGAGUCGAUGUCAUGGACAGGAGGAGGGGGCCUAUCUGGUCUGGGUCUCCGCUCCCACACGCUCGCCCUCGGUGCCGGUAUUUGAAAAUCAUUCCAGGAAAAAA